AAGAAUUCAGCCUCAGGAAGCUCCCACCCUGUCUGAAGGCCCAGAUGGAGAGGAGAGGAAGAGGCUGCUCAAAUGAUGAAAUCACAUCAGAUCUGGAAGCUGGCUAAAAAUAACCCAGGAAGGAGAACGGAACUCCAGGGGGCAGUGACUUCACUGGAAAUCGAUAUCAAAGCACCGAGUGGAAAGUGUUCCAUCGCAGAAGCUCUUUUUAAAAGUUUUCUUUUUUCUUUCAGUUUUAUUGGCAUAUAAUUGACAUACAGCAUUGUAUUACUUUCAGAUGUACAACAUGAACAUUUGAUUAUGUACAUCUUUGAAAUAUACAAAAGGGCGAUAUUAAAUAUACAAAAUUUAUAUGUAAAUAUACAAAAUUGACUAUAUUGAGCACACUGUGCA
This 393-nucleotide long non-coding RNA is filed under the name Equus asinus (donkey). RNAcentral's name for it is "lncRNA (ENSEASG00005038358.1)". Lineage: Eukaryota; Metazoa; Chordata; Mammalia; Perissodactyla; Equidae. The record is from RNAcentral.